CACACGCGGGCGAAGGAGUUUAGCUCUCCUUGCCGGUGCCAAAUUUAUUUGGUCACUGCCCGCGGCGGACUAACCGGACUAAGGAUGCCU
RNAcentral lists this small RNA (90 nucleotides) under Elstera litoralis. RNAcentral's name for it is "rpsB sRNA". It matches the Rfam family "rpsB sRNA". Lineage: Bacteria; Pseudomonadati; Pseudomonadota; Alphaproteobacteria; Rhodospirillales; Rhodospirillaceae. The record is from Rfam by way of RNAcentral.